UCUCCGGUGACUUCUUCGUCGCCACCCCCCGAUUCUCCCUUGGCGAUUCCUCCUUCUAUUGUUCCAUCUUUUCCUCAGCAUUACACUCGUCGUUCACGACCUGUGGAUGUCUCUUUGGAUGAGUCGUCCUCUUCCACUCAGCCUACUUAUGGCUUGCGUUCUCGUCCUCGUCCGCCUGUUGAUCGCUUUGGAUUUCCCACUGCUGGUGCUGCUGUUCUUGAGCCGACUUCUUAUCGUCAGGCUGUUGUUCAUCCUGAAUGGCAGUUUGCGAUGGCAGAGGAGAUUGCUGCUCUUGAACGCACUGGUACCUGGGAUCUUGUUUCUCUUCCUCCCGGAGUCCGUCCCAUCACUUGUAAGUGGGUCUACAAGGUUAAGACUCGCUUCGAUGGUUCUCUUGAGCGUCACAAAGCUCGUCUUGUGGCUCGUGGUUUUCAGCAGGAGCAUGGUCGUGAUUAUGACGAGACUUUUGCUCCUGUGGCCCAUAUGACCACUGUUCGUACACUUCUUGCUGUUGCCUCU
Molecule: ribosomal RNA, 519 nt
Filed under: Triticum aestivum (bread wheat)
Lineage: Eukaryota; Viridiplantae; Streptophyta; Magnoliopsida; Poales; Poaceae
Description: partial small subunit ribosomal RNA
Source: RNAcentral